UAACACUCGUACGCUUUAAAAUUGUGUGUAGACAAACUCUGAAAAUGAUUUUAGCAUACUUCAUUUUAUUUGUGCUAAUUUCAUAUUCUUAUGGACAGUCCCUGACCUCCUCUGCUUCUGUCGUGAAGAAACCUGGAGAGUCAGUUACCCUGUCCUGCACUGUUUCUGGACUCACGCUUAGCUGGUUGCACUGGAUCCGUCAGAAACCAGGACGAGGUCUGGAGUGGAUCGGGCGCAUUGAUGAUGGCACUGGCACAAUAUUCGCUCAGUCUCUGCAGGGCCAGUUCUCCAUCACUAAAGACACCAAUAAAAACAUGUUGUACCUCCAAGUGAAGAGUCUGAAAGCUGAAGACACGGCUGUUUAUUACUGUGCAUGA
This is a non-coding RNA of Neoarius graeffei (lesser salmon catfish), 377 nucleotides long. The record is from the annotation of a RefSeq genome assembly. NCBI's taxonomy places the organism in Eukaryota, Metazoa, Chordata, Actinopteri, Siluriformes, Ariidae.